This 250-nucleotide ribosomal RNA is filed under the name uncultured bacterium. Its description in RNAcentral is "partial 16S ribosomal RNA". It matches the Rfam family "Bacterial small subunit ribosomal RNA", at positions 524 to 773 of the family's 1533-position model. The record is from RNAcentral.
UACAUGUGGGGCAAGCGUUGUUCGGAAUUACUGGGCAUAAAGGGUGCGUAGGUGGCCUGCUAAGUCAGUGGUGAAAUCGUCCGGCCCAACCGGACGCCUGCCAAUGAUACUGGUGAGCUUGAGUGCGUGAGGGGUGGGGGGAACGAGCAGUGUAGCGGUGAAAUGCGUAGAUAUUGCUCGGAAGGCCAAAGCCGAAGGGACCCCACUGGUACGUAACUGACACUGAGGCACGAAAGCGUGGGGAGCAAAC